UGUUGAAGCCUUCGGCUGUUUUAAGCCAGUAUUGUUGUGAACAAGCGCGUCCUCAUUUUUUUUUCCAAAACAGCUUUUUAAGAAGAUGAAUCAGUGCAAUCAAACACAGAAUAUUUAACAAGCAACAGAAAGGAUUUUUAUACCAGGAGAACAAGGAAGCGUAUGUAUGUUCUGCAAGUCUCAAUGCUGAAGAUAAUAUAUCUGCCAGGAUUAAACCACCUUAUUAAAAGGAGAAACUAUGCAUCUGAAAAGAAAAACACGAAGAGGAGACCCCAGUGCCAUUACUUUGGAGUGCUGAGAGGUGGAGAAUGAAAAAGCCAUUGGUUUCAGUUUUACUACCACAAUGGCCUUUUAUGAGAGGGAUUAGAUACGCCUAGAACUGGUGCAGCAUUCAUCGCUGCCCUGGACAACACUGGAAAAAAAGACAAUAAAAAUCAGUUUGUCAUAAGGUUAAAUCA
This 458-nucleotide long non-coding RNA is filed under the name Crocodylus porosus (Australian saltwater crocodile). Its description in RNAcentral is "lncRNA (ENSCPRG00005011892.1)". Lineage: Eukaryota; Metazoa; Chordata; Crocodylia; Crocodylidae. The record is from RNAcentral.